This 429-nucleotide ribosomal RNA is filed under the name Chloroflexota bacterium. RNAcentral's name for it is "Chloroflexi bacterium partial 16S ribosomal RNA". It matches the Rfam family "Bacterial small subunit ribosomal RNA", at positions 355 to 776 of the family's 1533-position model. Lineage: Bacteria; Bacillati; Chloroflexota. The record is from RNAcentral.
UGGGGAAUAUUGCACAAUGGGCGCAAGCCUGAUGCAGCCAUGCCGCGUGUAUGAAGCAGGCCUCCGGGUUGUAAAGUACUUUCAGCGGGGAGGAAGGGAGUAAAGUUAAUACCUUUGCUCAUUGACGUUACCCGCAGAAGAAGCACCGGCUAACUCCGUGCCAGCAGCCGCGGUAAUACGGAGGGUGCAAGCGUUAAUCGGAAUUACUGGGCGUAAAGCGCACGCAGGCGGUUGAUUGAGUCAGAUGUGAAAUCCCCGGGCUUAACCCGGGAGUUGCAUCUGAUACUGGUCAGCUAGGGACUAGUAGGGGGGGGUAGGAUUGCAGGUGUAGCGGUGAAAUGCGUAGGGAAGUGGAGAAAUACCGGUGGCAAAGGGGGCCCCCUGGACAAAGACUGACGCUCAGGUGCGAAAGCGUGGGGAGCAAACGGG